RNAcentral lists this long non-coding RNA (397 nucleotides) under Theobroma cacao (cacao). RNAcentral's name for it is "long non-coding RNA (TCAC_LNC004608)". Lineage: Eukaryota; Viridiplantae; Streptophyta; Magnoliopsida; Malvales; Malvaceae. The record is from RNAcentral.
AUAUUUUCAAAGUCUUCCUAAAAUAACUUUUGUAGCGUAAAAGUAAAAUAAAUUUAGUUAUAUAGUAAUAAAGAUAAUUAAAGUAUGAAAUUUCGUUUAUAGUGACACGUGGGCCCCCAACUAACCAAGAAGGUGUAGAGCUACGAACCCUUACUUCCUAUGAUGCAACUUCGAGAUUAAUUCUCGUCUUAAUCAACUAUCAACAAACUGUCCUGAGCCUGAAAAAUGGAUAGGAAGAGGGGUGAGAUUAAAUAAUCCCAGUGAGUAAACAAUUACCAUCAAAAGCAUCUAAAGCCGAGUAGAUGGAGACAAUAUAAAAACGUUAUAUCUCAAUAAUGUUCAUAACACAAAAUUCGUUUCAAUCUAUACCAAAUAAUUUCUUUUCAUCAAAAUUUCC